GUGUCUUCGAGUCGUUGAUUUCACACUGCCGAGAAAAGCCUCUAGAUAGAAAAUAGGUGCCCGUACCGCAAACCGACACAGGUAGUCAAGAUGAGAAUUCUAAGGUGAGCGAGCGAACUCUCGUUAAGGAACUCGGCAAAAUGACCCCGUAACUUCGGGAGAAGGGGUGCUCUUUAGGGUUAACGCCCAGAAGAGCCGCAGUGAAUAGGCCCAAGCGACUGUUUAUCAAAAACACAGGUCUCUGCUAAACCGUAAGGUGAUGUAUAGGGGCUGACGCCUGCCCGGUGCUGGAAGGUUAAGAGGAGUGGUUAGCUUCUGCGAAGCUACGAAUCGAAGCCCCAGUAAACGGCGGCCGUAACUAUAACGGUCCUAAGGUAGCGAAAUUCCUUGUCGGGUAAGUUCCGACCCGCACGAAAGGCGUAACGAUUUGGGCACUGUCUCAACGAGAGACUCGGUGAAAUCAUAGUACCUGUGAAGAUGCAGGUUACCCGCGACAGGACGGAAAGACCCCGUGGAGCUUUACUGUAGC
RNAcentral lists this ribosomal RNA (529 nucleotides) under Staphylococcus aureus. RNAcentral's name for it is "partial 23S ribosomal RNA". It matches the Rfam family "Bacterial large subunit ribosomal RNA", at positions 1580 to 2110 of the family's 2925-position model. The record is from RNAcentral. Lineage: Bacteria; Bacillati; Bacillota; Bacilli; Caryophanales; Staphylococcaceae.